This 253-nucleotide ribosomal RNA is filed under the name uncultured bacterium. Its description in RNAcentral is "partial 16S ribosomal RNA". It matches the Rfam family "Bacterial small subunit ribosomal RNA", at positions 524 to 776 of the family's 1533-position model. The record is from RNAcentral.
UACGGAGGGUGCAAGCGUUAUCCGGAAUCACUGGGUUUAAAGGGUGCGUAGGCGGCUUAGUAAGUCAGGAGUGAAAGCCUGCGGCUUAACCGUAGAAAUGCUUUUGAUACUGCUGAGCUUGAAUUAGGUUGAGGUUGGCGGAAUGUGACAUGUAGCGGUGAAAUGCAUAGAUAUGUCAUAGAACACCAAUUGCGAAGGCAGCUGACUAGACCUGAAUUGACGCUGAGGCACGAAAGCGUCGGGAGCGACCAGG